RNAcentral lists this ribosomal RNA (460 nucleotides) under uncultured bacterium. RNAcentral's name for it is "partial 16S ribosomal RNA". It matches the Rfam family "Bacterial small subunit ribosomal RNA", at positions 338 to 795 of the family's 1533-position model. The record is from RNAcentral.
CCUACGGGAGGCAGCAGUGAGGAAUAUUGGUCAAUGGGCGCGAGCCUGAACCAGCGAAGUAGCGUGAAGGAUGACUGCCCUACGGGUUGUAAACUUCUUUUAUAAAGGAAUAAAGUGAGGCACGUGUGCCUUUUUGUAUGUACUUUAUGAAUAAGGAUCGGCUAACUCCGUGCCAGCAGCCGCGGUAAUACGGAGGGUCCGAGCGUUAUCCGGAUUGAUUGUGUUUAAAGGGAGCGUAGAUGGGUUGUUAAGUCAGUUGUGAAAGUUUGCGGCUAAACCGUAAAAUUGCAAUUGAUACUGGCAGCCUUGAGUACAGUUGAGGUAAGCGGAAUUCGUGGUGUAGCAGUGAAAUGCUUAGAUAUCACGAAGAACUCCGAUUGCGAAGGCAGCCUACUAAACUGCCACUGACAUUGAUGCUCGAAAGUGUGGGUAUCAAACAGGAUUAGAUACCCGAGUAGUC